Molecule: long non-coding RNA, 699 nt
Filed under: Daphnia magna
Lineage: Eukaryota; Metazoa; Arthropoda; Branchiopoda; Diplostraca; Daphniidae
Description: uncharacterized LOC116917156, transcript variant X4
Source: RNAcentral
GCACUUCAAAGUCGAACUGCAAGGGGCACAAGCUACUCUUGAGAUAACAGCCAAUCUGCGGCCUUGAAGAAUCACAAAAAGUAUAGCUUUCAGGUUGCAGCAUUCGGGAUCUGCCCGGAUCUGCGUAUGACACGCAUGGGCAGCGUCGAAAUAGCCUAGACGCACGGUCGGAAUGCCCUGACUGUCUCUAACGAAUUAAUGUUAGAAACGAGCAAACUGAACGAGGCUGUGAAUUCAUAUAGGCGCGCGAUGAGAAGUCCAACGUAGCUAGGUCCAAUUUCGGGCGCAUGUGUUUAACGCUCUUUAGAUAUCGAAGAAAAGUCAGGUUCCAGAGUAAGUGUCCGUUAUCGUCUACGGUUAAAACUGAAGUCCCAUCCAGCCGAGUUCAAGAUUGCCUGCUUCGUCUGAAGCAAAAGAAAAUCUCCUGAACCCACUUCAGUCGGUAUUUGGCAGAGACGCCGCAAUUCUCAACUGGCAGUGAAAUGUCUCCAUAGGCUACUAGACGGCAGGAAUUUGUACCGAGAGAAAGUGCUUCAUGUUCGUACGGCACUUAAAGCGGAGAAUCAGCGACUGAAACGGGUGGAAAUACUGUGAUGAAACUGUUACUCAAUGGUAGUAGUUUUCUAUUUCAAGCCACUGCGAAAGCCGUAACUGCUGUGUUUUGUCUCUGAAAGUCUGAAUAUACGCCAUAGCUUUUCA